This 1696-nucleotide long non-coding RNA is filed under the name Lathyrus oleraceus (garden pea). RNAcentral describes it as "Pisum sativum (pea) long non-coding RNA (PSAT_LNC008452)". Lineage: Eukaryota; Viridiplantae; Streptophyta; Magnoliopsida; Fabales; Fabaceae. The record is from RNAcentral.
GAAUCAAUAGUCAUUCUAUCAAAAAAUAUCACAUAUAAACAUGCAAAAUUCCAAAAACAAAUGAAAUCAUUCCAAAAAAAAAACAAAUCAAGAGAUGUCAUACCCUUUUACUACUGCCCGUAGCAGUUAUUACCGGUGGCUGUACGUCACACCCUAAAUUCCCCACCAAAGAUUUUCCCUUUGUUAAUUGCAUUUAGUUCAUACGCAUCAUCAUCAUACUAUGACCAUUUCAUUUGGUCAUUAAGUCUCAUUUGUGUUACUAAUUUGAUAACGAUUUAGGUGUCAUUUUAGAACAAAAGGAAGAGUUUCUUUGCUUAUUUUCAUUCAUUUUUGGCUCUGUGCAUUUACAUUGUCCUAUACCAUAAGCAUUAGGCUAACUACAUCAUAGGAUCAUCACAUUUACAUUUGAAAAAGUUCUUGUCAAGUUAAUAUCAAUUGAACUUUGUUUUAGCGUAUUUUUUUCUUCAUAUUAUUAUAUCACCAUCCGCCAAUUUUAAAAUAAAAACAAGGCGAAUCAAAUCAUAUCCUUUUGAUUUCCUUUUGAUGAAAAUUAACUUUGCAAAAACCUUGUUGUGAUACAUUCAUUUUUGGGCAAAAUUGAUUUUGAGUUAAAUAGCAAGUUUCUAAGUAAACUAGGUUUGCCAUUAAUUUAUCAAUAUCACUUGCAUUUUCUAUACAUCUCCCUUUGGUCUUGAAAAAUAAGAUAUUGUUGAUUUUGUACUUAAAGCAUAAAAUUAAAUUAAAAACCUAAAUACAAAUUGAGCUAAAAUUAAAAUUGAACUUUUGGGUUACUUACAUAACUUGUUUGACAUGUUUACAAGCAUGAAAUCACUUCGUCAUGGAAAAAAAUGAAAGAAAAUUUAAUAAAAAUGGUUACAUUAACACCUCAUGUCAACUAUCACCACAUUACCAGCAUGCAUCGUACAUGAGAAAACAUCCCAUUCAAAUGACUUUGAAAAACGAAUGUCAACUUGAACCAAAAUGUAUGAGCAACAUCAUACAUCUAUCAUCAUCCUCAAUAAUGGAACCUCACAAACCAUGAGUAAAAAAGAAAAGUAAAUAAAUUUAAAAAGGAGAGAUUGCUUAUCUGAAUCUUGAGCUCGUCGGAGACCAUCGUGCCGGAUGUAGCAGUUGUUAUCAGAGUUAUUUUUGUUGUUGUUUUUAUUGCUUUCAUUGUCAUUUAUCGUUGCGAUUUACGCUUCCCCUAUGAUAAGUUGUACAUAAUAUGUUGCAACCGUGAUGAGUUUAAUGGAUUAGGUUAGGGAUUAUGGGGGAUAGGGUUUUUCAAUUUGACUAAUUCCUUGUGUUCUUGUUAAAUGUGUUUGGGGAUUCCUAACCGUGAGUGAGUUUUAAUGAGGUUUUAUGUUGAUGGAUUUAGGGUUUGAGGGAGUUUUGUGUAAUUUAGAAAAGGAGGGAUGGACACCAUGAUUGGUUCUUUAUUAAACUAUAUUUUGAAAUAAGAGAAACAAGUUAAAUGCUUGUAAUUGUGUUUAUUAAGAGAGAGAGAGAGAGAGUUUUAGUCUAAAGAAAGAGAAAGUGUUUUUGAAAGUGAUUUCAUAUGCCUUCAUUUUUCCUUUUAAUCAUUGCGACCCUUCCAAUGUUCAAGCACAUGAUAGAGUUUUGGUCCUUUUCAUAAGAAUACUUUCUCUUUUUGACUUGGGAUCCUGCGUGGGACCCCAUCAUAACUCAGUGCACC